CGAGUUGUAAUUGUUAGGUUUAGAAGUUGAGCUGGUUAAUCGACAUUAAUAUGUGCUUACUCUAAUCGAAACCAAGUCCACUACAUUACUUAACACUUGUGAAACUUAUUUCAUUACAAACAUUAUUAUUUGUUAUUUGACCGUUUGAUUAUUAAAAAGUGAAUA
RNAcentral lists this unclassified non-coding RNA (165 nucleotides) under soil metagenome. RNAcentral describes it as "partial internal transcribed spacer 1". The record is from RNAcentral.